This 30-nucleotide non-coding RNA is filed under the name Rattus norvegicus (Norway rat). The record is from RNAcentral. Lineage: Eukaryota; Metazoa; Chordata; Mammalia; Rodentia; Muridae.
UGCCAUCAAGUGCUGAAGACAAUUGGCAAU